RNAcentral lists this ribosomal RNA (262 nucleotides) under uncultured bacterium. RNAcentral's name for it is "partial 16S ribosomal RNA". It matches the Rfam family "Bacterial small subunit ribosomal RNA", at positions 524 to 784 of the family's 1533-position model. The record is from RNAcentral.
UACAUGUGGGGGCAAGCGUUGUUCGGAAUCACUGGGCGUAAAGCGCACGUAGACGGAUCUUUAAGUCAGGGGUGAAAUCCCGAGGCUCAACCUCGGAACUGCCUUUGAUACUGGAGAUCUUGAGUCCGGAAGAGGUGAGUGGAACUGCGAGUGUAGAGGUGAAAUUCGUAGAUAUUCGCAAGAACACCAGUGGCGAAGGCGGCUCACUGGUCCGGUACUGACGCUGAGGUGCGAAAGCGUGGGGAGCAAACAGGAUUAGAUA